UACAGGGGGGGCAAGCGUUGUUCGGAAUUACUGGGCGUAAAGGGUCUGUAGGUGGCCAACUAAGUCAGACGUGAAAUCCCUCAGCUUAACUGGGGAACUGCGUCUGAUACUGGAUGGCUUGAGUGUGGGAGAGGAAUGCGGAAUUCCAGGUGUAGCGGUGAAAUGCGUAGAUAUCUGGAGGAACACCGGUGGCGAAGGCGGCAUUCUGGACCAACACUGACGCUGAGGAGCGAAAGCCAGGGGAGCAAACGGG
RNAcentral lists this ribosomal RNA (253 nucleotides) under uncultured bacterium. RNAcentral describes it as "partial 16S ribosomal RNA". It matches the Rfam family "Bacterial small subunit ribosomal RNA", at positions 524 to 776 of the family's 1533-position model. The record is from RNAcentral.